UAGUCGUAACAAGGUUUCCGUAGGUGAACCUGCGGAAGGAUCAUUAGUUUGAUCAGGCCGUUCGCGGCGGUACCUGAAACCCUCCUUACGGCGGCCGGAGUUCGGCGAAGGGCGAAGUCCCCUCGCGGGCGGAGUCCGCCGGAAUCUCGCAACCAUGCCUUGAAACUGCGGUCUGAGAGAAUGAUGAAUUAGCGAAAA
Molecule: unclassified non-coding RNA, 198 nt
Filed under: plant metagenome
Description: partial contains small subunit ribosomal RNA and internal transcribed spacer 1
Rfam family: Eukaryotic small subunit ribosomal RNA (bases 1-46)
Source: RNAcentral